CAAAGGGUAGUUUAAUAAAAAUAUUAGUUUUGGAGAUUAAAGAUAAGAUUUUAUAUUUCCUUUGA
RNAcentral lists this transfer RNA (65 nucleotides) under Metallyticus sp. RNAcentral's name for it is "tRNA-Pro". Lineage: Eukaryota; Metazoa; Arthropoda; Insecta; Mantodea; Metallyticidae. The record is from RNAcentral.